This 22-nucleotide small nuclear RNA is filed under the name Arabidopsis thaliana (thale cress). RNAcentral describes it as "snRNA_17292". The record is from RNAcentral. Lineage: Eukaryota; Viridiplantae; Streptophyta; Magnoliopsida; Brassicales; Brassicaceae.
UCGCUGGAAUUUUGUGUUUGUU